This 215-nucleotide non-coding RNA is filed under the name Pontibacillus marinus. RNAcentral's name for it is "T-box sequence". It matches the Rfam family "T-box leader". Rfam says of the family: Uncharged tRNA acts as the effector for transcription antitermination of genes in the T-box leader family. T-boxes are found upstream of many aminoacyl-tRNA synthetase genes and some amino acid biosynthetic genes usually in Gram-positive bacteria. Lineage: Bacteria; Bacillati; Bacillota; Bacilli; Caryophanales; Bacillaceae. The record is from RNAcentral.
GUAAAUACGAAGAAGAAGAUACGUUCAUUAUGAGAGGAAAUGACAGAGAGCUAGUGGGUGGUGUGAACUAGUAUUUCCACAUAAUGAAAAGCACUUUUGAGUAGACAGCUCGAAAUAGAAGUAGGACUGUCCGUGAAUGCACGUUACGCAUAACUAAUGAAGGCUAUGGAAAUAGCGAAAAUUAGGGUGGUACCGCGAAAACUUUCGCCCCUUAC